UAAGCGGAGGAAAAGAAACUANCAAGGAUUNCCCUAGUAACUGCGAGUGAAGCGGGAAAAGCUCAAAUUUAAAAUCUGGUGGUCUUUGGCCAUCCGAGUUGUAAUUUAGAGAAGCGUUUUCCGCGCUGGACCGUGCACAAGUCUCCUGGAAUGGAGCGUCAUAGAGGGUGAGAAUCCCGUCUUUGGCACGGACACACCAGGGCUUUUGUGAUGCGCUCUCGAAGAGUCGAGUUGUUUGGGAAUGCAGCUCAAAAUGGGUGGUGAACUCCAUCUAAAGCUAAAUAUUGGCGAGAGACCGAUAGCGAACAAGUACCGUGAGGGAAAGAUGAAAAGCACUUUGGAAAGAGAGUGAAACAGUACGUGAAAUUGUUGAAAGGGAAACGCUUGAAGUCAGUCGCGUCGACCGAGACUCAGCCUUGCCUUGGCUUGGUGUACUUCUCGGCUGACGGGUCAGCAUCAAUUUCGCCCCUUGGAUAAUGGCGAGGGAAAUGUGACACCUUUAUGGUGUGUUAUAGUCCCUUGUCGCAUGCAAGGGUUGGGAUUGAGGAACUCAGCACGCACCUUUGGGUGUCGGGGCUUUGCCCACGAUACGUGCUUAGGAUGUUGGCGUAAUGGCUUUAAACGACC
RNAcentral lists this ribosomal RNA (627 nucleotides) under uncultured Russulaceae. RNAcentral describes it as "LSU rRNA". It matches the Rfam family "Eukaryotic large subunit ribosomal RNA", at positions 47 to 649 of the family's 3401-position model. The record is from RNAcentral. Lineage: Eukaryota; Fungi; Basidiomycota; Agaricomycetes; Russulales; Russulaceae.